GACGAACGCUGGCGGCGUGCUUAACACAUGCAAGUCGAACGGGUCUGCCCUGUUUUUUGCGGGGUGGGUCAGUGGCGAACGGGUGAGUAACACGUGAGUAACCUGCCCCUCACUUCUGGAUAACCGCUUGAAAGGGUGGCUAAUACGGGGUGUUCUGGCUGUGCCGCAUGGUGUGGCUGGGAAAGAUUCACUUUUGUGGUGUUUUGGUGGGGGAUGGGCUCGCGGCCUAUCAGCUUGUUGGUGGGGUGAUGGCCUGCCAAGGCUUUGACGGGUAGCCGGCCUGGGAGGGUGGGCGGUCACACUGGGACUGAGAUACGGCCCAGACUCCGGCGGGAGGCAGCAGGGGGGGGUAUUGCACAAUGGGCGGAAGCAUGAUGCAGCGACGUCGCGGGAGGGAUGGAGGCCGGCGGGUUGUGAACCUCUUUCGCCGGUGAAGAAGGUCCUGCUCUUUGUGGUGGGGUUGACGGUAGCCGGGUUAUGAAGCGCCGGCUAACUACGUG
Molecule: ribosomal RNA, 500 nt
Filed under: uncultured bacterium
Lineage: Bacteria
Description: partial 16S ribosomal RNA
Rfam family: Bacterial small subunit ribosomal RNA
Source: RNAcentral